Molecule: long non-coding RNA, 1387 nt
Organism: Alosa alosa (allis shad)
Lineage: Eukaryota; Metazoa; Chordata; Actinopteri; Clupeiformes; Clupeidae
Exons: 4
Source: RefSeq, a predicted model, not a curated record
AGGCCCUAGGCCUACAUAUUUGAGAGAAAAAAUGUAGGCCUAAAUCGUUGACCGCGAAGACAACAGAAGGGUUAAAACGAAAAAGGCUUGAAAUAUUUCGCUUUAUGUGUAAUUAAUCUAUAUUAUAUAUUGUUUCACUUUUUGAAAUAGGACUACAAUAUGGGGAGGAAAACUUGUCAACAAUAUCUACUUUUUUGAGAUGCACCUAGGCCUAGCCCAUUUUAAUUUUACCCGCGUUCUGAUAAACUUCCAGGUGCAAUCACUUAGCCUACAAUUAACGUCACGAGAUUUCCACACAGAUCCCGCUCCCACACACAGACUUGGCUUCAUUACAGAAGCCUAGCCUAUGACAAAAACGCAGCCAAAAAGAAGCAUAGCAUAGAAUAUUAAAAACAACUUUUGUGGAGGGUGUGUGGUCUGGUAUCCGAAUGCCAUUAAAAUGGCAGAGGCAAAUAUCUCAGUGGAUGAAAACCAUUUCCAAUGUCCGAUUUAUUUGGAGCUACUGAAGGAUCCAGUACAGAGAGACGUUCAACCCGAGACCUGUUUUAGGUCGACAUCUCAUUUUGGCUGCCAUGGUUGCGAAGCUAAAGGCCCAGGGUCUUCAAAGCACUCAAUAAAAUGGCGGGUUUGCUGAAUCUGGCGACGUGGAGUGUACUGUUUGCAUAGGAAGGAAACGCAAAGCUGACCAAACGUGUCUUGAGUGCCUUGGUUCCUACUGUGCACCUCAUUUUUGCCGUCACGAGGAACUCUUUCUAGGAAAGAAGCACAAGAUGGUUGAGGCUGUUGCUGAGGUCCAGACGAGAGUGUGUUCACAACAUAGCAAACCAUUGGAAGUUUUUUGCCAGACUGAUGGGAAGUGUGUGUGUGUGUGCGUUGCAUGCAUCACAGAUGAGCACAAAGGCCACGAUGUAGUCUCACCUGCACGUGCUCAGGAACGUUUACAGAUGCUAAUGGAAUCAAGCUUAAAGAGUGAAAUCUCUAAGAGGGAAGCUGAACUAAACAAGCUGACAGAAAAUGUUGAGCCUCUAAAGUCCUCUGCACAGGCUGCAGUGGAGCACAGUGACCGUGUCUUCACAGAGCUGCAGGCCUUCAUUGAGCCGUGUAGAGGUGGCGGAGAUGAUCAAAACUCAGAAGGAGGAGGAGCUGAGUCGGGCAGAGCAGCUGCAGGAGGAGCUCAAUGUGCUGAAGAAGAGAGCAGCUGAUAUGGCGCAGCUGGCAAGCAAAGAGGAUUACAUACAUUUCCUACAGAGUCUCUUUCUUUUUCCCCAAAAGAUUUACCAGCUGUCACUGUCAGGGAAUGCUUCUCAUUUAAUGGUGUGCAAAGAUCUGUCUCAUCUAAAGGAUGUGGUGAACGAAACAUGCACAAAUCACAUUGGACUUAUAUGGA